CAUUACAUUAAAUGCUCAGAGGUCAGCUCAGAUAGACUAAACAAAAUCUGGAAGUCACCACGAAGGAGAGAAUUCUCUCUGAUGAAGGCUCGAGAAUCUGGCCCUCGUGGCAGCGACUUUUUCUCUGUGAGAUAACGAACCCUCAUUCAUAUUUGUGCUCUUCGUUCCCUUGUGACAUUUCGGUAACAGAGGUCAAUACCCGAACUGCAAACAAAUUACAAGACCGCAUACUGCACUGCUGAGCUGUCCCUGGUUGAGCAUCACGGCUUGACUUUCCCUUCUGCCAAGUCUUGCUUCCUUCUCCCGGAGAAUACGGAGAGUGCGCCCUAAUAAACACUGAAAGCAAGUCCCCGCCGCAGCUCUUCUUGAAACUCCGCCACCUAAAGGAAUUUGGGAGAAUGAAGUCAACACACAAAGGGAAACGGAAACCAGAGGAGGAGGCUGGGUGUAGUCAACCGGUGGGCCAGCGCCAGUGCAGGCAUCCGGCGGUUUGGCUGUGUGAACCAGAUGGUUUACAUUUGAAAAUGUUCUGUUUCAAGGCUGGUUUGAGCUGGCUCUUCAAGCAGAAAAGUCCCGCCUGGUAGAAGAGACAUCUGCACAAACUGGACUGGAGUGAUGACCCAUCAGUUAAAAUCACUGGCUGCUCUUCCAGAGGACCCUGGUUCAAUUCCCAGCACCCACAAGGAAACUCACAACACCUGGUGUUGUGCCCAGAUUUCGGAACCCCAAAAGAACCCAUCAACAAGGAGACGACUCACCGAAUGCAAGGACAAAGGUUUCUUUAUUGACUCGAGGAUACAAGCUGCAGCAAGGACCCCAUUCGUUUGGGAACAAAUGGAGCCCCCACUUUCGACUGAGGGGUGUUUUAUAAGAGAAAAUUGUAGGGCUGGAAGCCCCAAGAUUACAGAACUUCGUGGUUACACAGGACAGGGCAAUGGUUGUAUGCUUCAGGCAAGGUACAAUUAAGAAGGAUGCUGCAGAGGAAAUGAGUUUGUUAAUUAUCUCCUGGGCUGGGGACUUCUACAAUUGAUAACUAUCUGAUUCUCUUUGGACCAGAGGAAUGUCGACACCACUCUAGGGUCUGGUCUAAGGGCUUGAGUCCUGUGGACCUUUGUUUAACCUUGUCUGCUGAGUUGCCUUUUGGGAACUCAGAGUUUUCUAUUUGGGCUUUGGAGUCUGGGUUUUAGACUUUUAUUAAUUUUCCCCUUUCACUAGCUGUUCUGGAACUAGUUUUGCAGACCAGGCAGACAACAAACUCAGGGAAAUCCUCAGGCCUCUGCUGGGGAUUAAAGGUGUGUGCCACCACGCCAGUCUUUUUGUCGUUUGUCUUUCCUUCCCUUCCUUUGUUUAUCUUCCUUCCUCCCUUUUGUCCUUCCUUUCUCUCUCCUCCCCUCUCUUUCUAAAAGUGUUUUAACUAUGCUUAGUUUCUAGUGGUUAUACUACAUCUUUAACCGGAGGGGUUAAAAACAGCAGGAAAACGGGGUUUCCCAGCCCUGCUACUAGUGCUACCUAUCUUGUGUGCAGUAGGAUGUUUAUUUCAAAGCAUCCCUGGCCUCAGCCCAGCAGGUACGGACAAUGCUCUCUCGUCUGCCCUGAGUUCUAACAACCCAAGCACUUCUCUAGCUUUUGGCAAACGUCCCUACCUUAAAGUUAUAUCUCAAAGGUAGGGAGCAGCUAUCACUGUAGUCCUGGAGGGGAGAGGAGAGAGAGAAAGGGACCGGAAUUGCUUAAAUUAGAACUCUGCUGACGCUCGCUCUCUGCACCGGGCGCGGUGAAGCCAGUUCUGCCGGUGCUGCCAAAACUGCAAGCCGUUCUCAGAGUGCUACUAGAAAGGGACAGCGGCUCAUGGGGAAAAAGCUGCAGGCGGGGUCAGCAGCCACCUUGACCUCUUCAGCCUUCCCUCGAGCGCCCCCUAGGGGCAGAGUGUCGCAGGGAGCCAGCCCGCAAGGCAAGCCGCGGAUUGAGGGGAAUAGAGGGCUUGGGUGGGGGG
RNAcentral lists this long non-coding RNA (1990 nucleotides) under Cricetulus griseus (Chinese hamster). Its description in RNAcentral is "lncRNA (ENSCGRG00015031372.1)". The record is from RNAcentral. Lineage: Eukaryota; Metazoa; Chordata; Mammalia; Rodentia; Cricetidae.